This 504-nucleotide ribosomal RNA is filed under the name uncultured bacterium. RNAcentral describes it as "partial 16S ribosomal RNA". It matches the Rfam family "Bacterial small subunit ribosomal RNA", at positions 30 to 523 of the family's 1533-position model. The record is from RNAcentral.
AUUGAACGCUGGCGGCAGGCCUAACACAUGCAAGUCGAGCGGUAGCACAGAGAGCUUGCUCUCGGGUGACGAGCGGCGGACGGGUGAGUAAUGUCUGGGAAACUGCCUGAUGGAGGGGGAUAACUACUGGAAACGGUAGCUAAUACCGCAUAACGUCGCAAGACCAAAGAGGGGGACCUUCGGGCCUCUUGCCAUCAGAUGUGCCCAGAUGGGAUUAGCUAGUAGGUGGGGUAACGGCUCACCUAGGCGACGAUCCCUAGCUGGUCUGAGAGGAUGACCAGCCACACUGGAACUGAGACACGGUCCAGACUCCUACGGGAGGCAGCAGUGGGGAAUAUUGCACAAUGGGCGCAAGCCUGAUGCAGCCAUGCCGCGUGUAUGAAGAAGGCCUUCGGGUUGUAAAGUACUUUCAGCGGGGAGGAAGGCGAUAAGGUUAAUAACCUUGUCGAUUGACGUUACCCGCAGAAGAAGCACCGGCUAACUCCGUGCCAGCAGCCGCCGUAA